CUCAGCAUCCGUUGAGAAAGUCCAGCGCUCGCUGGGUUUGAGCGGUCGCUGGAAACACAUAGAAAAGUUAGUAAUCUGCACAAAGAAAUUUUCUCAAACAUUAAUCUCAAGAUUCUCAACAAAAGCAUAUUUGCAAGAAAAGCCAACCUUCAGAAGCUGCUUACGUUAAGCCAAAGAUAAAGAUCAAAAUCUGGACUUGCUGCUUCUCGCAGCCAUAAUUUUGUGUCUUCAAGCAAGAAAAAGACACACACUGGCACACACACAGUGUGUUUUUGGCAACAAAUUUCAACGCCAUUAAAAUAUUAAUAUAAAGAAAUUCACAACUACUACAUCUUUCGCCAUCAUCUUCCUAGAAACACAAGAGAGAGAUGGAGAAAACGAGAAGAAUACAAACUUGAAGCAGAGAUGGGUUGCUGCGAAACGCCCAAGAUUUGGAGCUGCCACGUGGGAUGGUGGUGCGCACCCUCCUCUUGUUCACCACCACCAUCUUCCUAGACCUCAGCGGCGGCGCCUCUUGCAUAGACGGGGCAUCGAUUCCAACAGAGAUUAUCAGUUCCAUAAUUUGCAAAGAAUGAAUCUCUGUUUAAUUCAGCUUUCUGGUUUCUUAGCUCUACCAAUUGAGUAUCUGAUUUGAAGGGAAAGGCGACGAGCAGGAAGAGCUGGAGUCGGUGCAGGAUACCCAGCCAUUGAAGUCUGGUGGGGGAAACAGUUUUAUCAGAUCGGACAAAGCGAAUAUUGAUCUGACGAAGAAGAUGAGGGUUUCUCCGAUUUUGUUCAAGAAAUGGUGUCUCUCGUGAAUGGGUACACUUGCUCUGUUUAAUGAUGUAUUGGGCUUAGUUGGUGAAUUCGCGUGAGAGCUGAGUUAUGAUGAGAUUGAUAUUGAAAAUAGGGAAAAACAUACAGCAUGGAAGAACUGUUUUGGGAGAUGGCACAAGCUUAUGAGAUUCCUAAAUGGACAUGUGAAGAAAACAAGUUCAAAUAUGAAAUAUCUGGACUGUAACUUCUUCUCAUCAACUAAAAUGUGGCUGGGUUUCCAGCGCUCGCUGGUACCCAGCGCUCGCUGGGUUUCCCAGCGCUCGCUGGAACUCAGCGGUCGCUGGGUUUCCAGCGGGGCUGGGACUCAGCGGGCGUUGGCUUCAUGGAAUUCAAUUCCAAAAUUAUCCCGUAAAGUCUUCGAAAAUCAGUGAAAAUCGGGGUGAAAUCCAACCACGAAUUCUUUGAAA
Molecule: long non-coding RNA, 1223 nt
Organism: Salvia miltiorrhiza (redroot sage)
Lineage: Eukaryota; Viridiplantae; Streptophyta; Magnoliopsida; Lamiales; Lamiaceae
Exons: 2
Source: RefSeq, a predicted model, not a curated record